GACGAACCGAGCGAACGUUGUUCGGAAUCACUGGGCUUAAAGGGCGCGUAGGCGGGCGGCCGCGUCCGGGGUGAAAUCCUCCCGCCCAACGGGAGAACGGCCUCGGAUACGGGCGGCCUCGAGGGGGGUAGGGGCAGGCGGAACUGUGGGUGGAGCGGUGAAAUGCGUUGAGAUCCACAGGAACUCCGGUGGCGAAGGCGGCCUGCUGGACCCCUCCUGACGCUGAGGCGCGAAAGCGUGGGGAGCAAACAGG
This 253-nucleotide ribosomal RNA is filed under the name uncultured bacterium. RNAcentral describes it as "partial 16S ribosomal RNA". It matches the Rfam family "Bacterial small subunit ribosomal RNA", at positions 524 to 776 of the family's 1533-position model. The record is from RNAcentral.